RNAcentral lists this ribosomal RNA (697 nucleotides) under Staphylococcus warneri. RNAcentral's name for it is "bacterial SSU rRNA". It matches the Rfam family "Bacterial small subunit ribosomal RNA", at positions 160 to 841 of the family's 1533-position model. Lineage: Bacteria; Bacillati; Bacillota; Bacilli; Caryophanales; Staphylococcaceae. The record is from RNAcentral.
GAGCUAAUACCGGAUAAGAUUUUGAACCGCAUGGUUCAAUAGUGAAAGACGGCCUUGCUGUCACUUAUAGAUGGAUCCGCGCCGUAUUAGCUAGUUGGUAAGGUAACGGCUUACCAAGGCAACGAUACGUAGCCGACCUGAGAGGGUGAUCGGCCACACUGGAACUGAGACACGGUCCAGACUCCUACGGGAGGCAGCAGUAGGGAAUCUUCCGCAAUGGGCGAAAGCCUGACGGAGCAACGCCGCGUGAGUGAUGAAGGUCUUCGGAUCGUAAAACUCUGUUAUCAGGGAAGAACAAACGUGUAAGUAACUGUGCACGUCUUGACGGUACCUGAUCAGAAAGCCACGGCUAACUACGUGCCAGCAGCCGCGGUAAUACGUAGGUGGCAAGCGUUAUCCGGAAUUAUUGGGCGUAAAGCGCGCGUAGGCGGUUUUUUAAGUCUGAUGUGAAAGCCCACGGCUCAACCGUGGAGGGUCAUUGGAAACUGGAAAACUUGAGUGCAGAAGAGGAAAGUGGAAUUCCAUGUGUAGCGGUGAAAUGCGCAGAGAUAUGGAGGAACACCAGUGGCGAAGGCGACUUUCUGGUCUGUAACUGACGCUGAUGUGCGAAAAGCGUGGGGAUCAAACAGGAUUAGAUACCCUGGUAGUCCACGCCGUAAACGAUGAGUGCUAAGUGUUAGGGGGUUUCCGCUCCCUU